UUGUCGUGUCAUUGCUGGGCUCUGCACCAAUCCACGGUCGCCUGACGGUGCGUCAGAGCAGCUCUCAGUACUUUGAAGGAGACUCUGUGUCUCUGAGCUGUGAGGAGGACAACAGCCUGGCUGUAUGGACUCUGAAAAGAAACACAACCAAGGAAAGUAGAACUCAGUGUGGAACGGACUGGGGGGACGCCGUCGGUUCCUCCUGCAUCGUCAGCCACAUCGUCCCCCUGGAUUCUGGAGUUUACUGGUGUGAGUGGAGAGAGGGAGCAGCCAGCAGCAGCAGCAUCCAGCUCACUGUCACUGGUGGAUCAGUGAUCCUGCAGAGUCC
This is a long non-coding RNA of Fundulus heteroclitus (mummichog), 328 nucleotides long. RefSeq lists it as uncharacterized. The transcript is spliced from 3 exons. The record is from RefSeq and is a predicted model, not a curated record. NCBI's taxonomy places the organism in Eukaryota, Metazoa, Chordata, Actinopteri, Cyprinodontiformes, Fundulidae.